UACAGAGGUGGCAAGCGUUGUUCGGAAUUACUGGGCGUAAAGGGCGCGUAGGCGGUCUUGUCAGUCCCUUGUGAAAUCCCCCGGCUCAACUGGGGAACUGCACGGGAAACAGCAGGGCUUGAGUUCGGGAGAGGGAAGCGGAAUUCCCGGUGUAGAGGUGAAAUUCGUAGAUAUCGGGAGGAACACCAGUGGCGAAGGCGGCUUUCUGGACAUUUACUGACGCUGAGACGCGAAAGCGUGGGGAGCAAACAGG
Molecule: ribosomal RNA, 253 nt
Filed under: uncultured bacterium
Lineage: Bacteria
Description: partial 16S ribosomal RNA
Rfam family: Bacterial small subunit ribosomal RNA
Source: RNAcentral